AUGAGUUGGUUUCUGAAGAGGGUGCUCAGCCAUCAGAUCUGUCACAUGAAGCUGGAAAAGUUGCUGCUGAACCUUUAAUAUAUGAUAAUAAUGGUCCCAGUCUUCAACAGGUUGAUAGGGUGCUGGCAUGUCGAGUGCAAGAUGAUAAUAUUAGUUGUUCACAUGAUAUCCCUGGAAUAAAUGCAAAUGACCCAGCAUUGAGAGAUUCAGCGAGAGAGGAAGCAAAUGAUGGAAAACCCAGCGGUGA
Molecule: unclassified non-coding RNA, 247 nt
Filed under: Hevea brasiliensis (rubber tree)
Lineage: Eukaryota; Viridiplantae; Streptophyta; Magnoliopsida; Malpighiales; Euphorbiaceae
Source: RNAcentral